UUGAGGAAAAAGGAAAAAUGACUCGUGAGAUCUUCGUGAGGUGAAUGUGGGAGCUGAAGGAUAUCGUUAGAUUUACCUUUUUUUUUUAAUUUUUUUGCAAUUUUACUUUCCGUUCGCUAUGCGUGUCAUGUGCGAUGAAUAAAUAUUGAGAGCAGCCCCUGUUUGGGAGCAGCCGAAGCACACCCUACGUGCCAUCUGUGUAAUGACUGAAUUGACCCCCACUUUCCUUUCCCUCCCUCAGUAGUACUGUGCUCGAUUUGAGUUCGAAAAGAACCUCUCGCAACUCCCCUUUCCCCGGCUUCCUCUCGCAGUUCCCCUUUCCCCGGCUUCCUCUUGCAGUUCCCCUCUCCCCGUCUUUCCCCCUCCCCGAUUUGAGUUCGAAAAGAGCCUCUCGCAGCUCCCCUCUCCCCGGCUUUCCCCCUCCCCAAUUUUAGUUCGAAAAGAACCUCUCGUAGCUCCCCUCUCCCCGACUUUCCCCCUCCCCGUCGUCGGCAUCCCCCCACCAGCAGCACUCUCCCCCUCGUCUCGCUCAACCUCUUGCUGUACCGAAUCUCCUCAUUCUUUCGUUUCGUCUUCUUCGAUCUCCCUCCCGAGUUUUGUCGUCAACAUCCCCCUCCCCACCAAAACCUCAGCCCUCCCGAGGUUCUUAGUUCGUAAAUCCACCAACGGAAGCCGUCAUUCAGCAGACGAGAAGCCAGCCUCUGCCCUAAUACGCAAAUCUGUGAGAAGUUAGGAAAGUAAAUCAUCUCUGAUUCUAGGGUUUGGGCAAAUUUUUUUUUUUCCUCUAUUUACUUCAUUAUUUUUUGCUCCCUGUCAUUUUCUUUGCAGGUCCGUGUAUUUCAAAAACUCCAAACAGAAAAAACAGGGGCUAUUUUACCCUCGCUAUCCAGGUUCUUUCAUCACAUACAAUUUUAGUUAUAAUAAAAAAAACUCCAGAUUGAUAGAAUGUAAUUUGCAGGGUUAGGCUUGAUAUCAAAACUUGCUUAGAUUCAUAUGAAAUUCAUGUUUAACUAUUACUUAAUAAAAUACAAGCACAUAUGGUACUUGAUAUGUGUAAUUCUCAUAUAUCAUAAUGUUUAAUUUAAUUUUUCUAAUUUCUAACUGUUCUUUCAGAAUACGUCUUGGACCUCUGUUAUGGUAGUUCUAUGUUUUUAUUGUUUGAAAGUUAUUAGUUUGCUCUUUCCCGUGGACAAAAACAGGAAAAAAAUUAGAUUUUUUCCCAUUGAUUACUUCUUUGUUGUACUUGAUUCGAUUUGAAAAGUAAAACAAAUGCAUAGUUGGCUAAUGGAAAACUCAAUUGCGAUACUUUGUUUUAGCUUAACCCAAUGGUCUAAAUGUAAAAUCCCACCACGCACACUACACUUGCCGCUUGUCGUUUGGCAGUAUGCUAUCCCUUUAAUCAUAAGUUUUAAGCAUUGAAAUUUGAUUAGCUAUUGCAAUUCUACCAUCUGUUGGGUCUGACUAGUUUUGGUUUGCUUAUGUUUCUGAGAGAAAUAGGGAGCAGCACUUCUUGGUAAAGUCAGAUGCAUUUUUACAUUUAAUACUGCACAUACUAUUAAGGCAUUAAUAAAAAUAUGAGAUAAAAAUGUUUAGUUUCUGAUUUUGGUAAGAUCAAAUUUUAAAAUAAGCUAUUAGUUUUCGGUUUUUUUUUUUUUUUUACUUUUGUCAAGGUAAAGUCCUUUGGGGGGUUUUGAGAAAGAUUUGAAGUUUUUGAGUCUCCCUAUUUUUGUUUCUUCAAAAGAGAAAUAAGCUUUCUACCGAAAUGGAGUUUUAAACCUUCAUGCAGGUCCCCCCGCUGUAACGUAAUGAUGUCUUUAUGAUUUACCUUACUUUUAUGUAAGUUCCCAAUGUCUACACAUUUUGGAGAGAACCUCAAUAAAACCAGUAAUUUUUUUGGUAAUUAUAAGUCUCCUUGAACUUGAACUCGCGCUGUAAAUUUUAUGAAUUACAGACUCCUGAGUUCGACUUCUCAGAAGCACAAAUUUAUCUUUUGUUUUUUAGAAUCAGUCAUGUCAGCAUCUCAAUCAUCAUCUUUACUUAAUGAUUUUGUUAUGGAAUCUCCAACUUGUUGGUGUGGUUUGAGGACACCACUAAAGACAUCUCACACGUCGAAGAAUCCUGGAAGGAGAUUUUUCGUUUGCCUAAACUAUAAAACAGGAGAAGCAAGGUGUGAAUUUUUUGUAUGGGCCGAUAUACUUCAUUUGCUAGAUCUAAAUUUUCGUGCCCAUGAGAAUAAGGCGACAAAUAUUACGUGGAAUGAUGUAUUACAGCGUGAGUAUGCCGUUCGGAAAAGGGAAGAUAAAGUGAGAGAGAUAGCAAAGAAUUUGAAAAAGCAAAAGCAAAAACUUUUGUGUUUGUACUGGGUUCUAACUUUUGUAAUAGUGUUUAUUUGGCUUGUCUAAAUUGUAUGUAAAGUAUCUAGCUAUGAACUCUUUUGGUUUUGCAUGGUUCUUUUGAAGUGCAGAACAUGGUUUGAACCAUGACCAUUGUAUGUAAAUUGUCAAGGACCGUGUAGUACAGAACUUUUGGAUAUGAAAUUGACUUUGUAAUGCCUCUAGCAAAGUGUUAUUUA
Carya illinoinensis is the source of this 2572-nucleotide long non-coding RNA. RefSeq lists it as uncharacterized. The record is from RefSeq and is a predicted model, not a curated record. NCBI's taxonomy places the organism in Eukaryota, Viridiplantae, Streptophyta, Magnoliopsida, Fagales, Juglandaceae. The transcript has 2 exons.